This 440-nucleotide ribosomal RNA is filed under the name uncultured bacterium. RNAcentral's name for it is "partial 16S ribosomal RNA". It matches the Rfam family "Bacterial small subunit ribosomal RNA", at positions 338 to 795 of the family's 1533-position model. The record is from RNAcentral.
CCUACGGGAGGCAGCAGUGGGGAAUAUUGCACAAUGGGGGAAACCCUGAUGCAGCGACGCCGCGUGAGUGAAGAAGUAUUUCGGUAUGUAAAGCUCUAUCAGCAGGGAAGAAAAUGACGGUACCUGACUAAGAAGCCCCGUCUAACUACGUGCCAGCAGCCGCGGUAAUACGUAGGGGGCAAGCGUUAUCCGGAUUUAUUGGGUGUAAAGGGAGCGUAGGCGGCAAGGUAAGUCAGCAGUGAAAGCCUGUGGCUCAACUGCGGGACUGCUGUUGGAACUAUCUAGCUAGAGUGCAGGAGAGGUAAGUGGAAUUCGUAGUGUAGCGGUGAAAUGCGUAGAUAUUAGGCGGAACACCAGUGGCGAAGGCGGCUUACUGGACUGUAAAUGACGCUGAGGCUCGAAAGCGUGGGGAGCAAACAGGAUUAGAUACCCGGGUAGUC